UGGGCUUAACAUCCCGUGACAACUCCAGAGAUGGAGCCUCCCCUUCGGGGGCACGGUGAUAGGUGCUGCAUGGCUGUCGUCAGCUCGUGUCGUAAGAUGUUGGGUUAAGUCCCGCAACGAGCGCAACCCUUAUCCUUAGUUGCUACCAUUAAGUUGGGCACUCUGAGGAGACUGUCGGCGUUAAACCGGAGGAAGGCGGGGAUGACGUCAAGUCCUCAUGGCCCUUACGUCCAGGGCUACACACGUACUACAAUGGCAAAGACAAACCGUUGCGAAGCCGCGAGGUGGAGCUAAUCGGUAAAACAUUGUUGCAGUCCGGAUUGAAGUCUGCAACUCGACUUCAUGAAGC
Molecule: ribosomal RNA, 349 nt
Filed under: uncultured bacterium
Lineage: Bacteria
Description: bacterial SSU rRNA
Rfam family: Bacterial small subunit ribosomal RNA
Source: RNAcentral